RNAcentral lists this ribosomal RNA (500 nucleotides) under uncultured bacterium. RNAcentral's name for it is "partial 16S ribosomal RNA". It matches the Rfam family "Bacterial small subunit ribosomal RNA", at positions 30 to 523 of the family's 1533-position model. The record is from RNAcentral.
AUUGAACGCUGGCGGCAUGCCUUACACAUGCAAGUCGAACGGCAGCACGGGAGCAAUCCUGGUGGCGAGUGGCGAACGGGUGAGUAAAGUAUCGGAACGUGCCCAGUCGUGGGGGAUAACGUAGCGAAAGUUACGCUAAUACCGCAUACGAUCUAUGGAUGAAAGCGGGGGAUCGCAAGACCUCGCGCGAUUGGAGCGGCCGAUAUCAGAUUAGGUAGUUGGGGGGGUAAAGGCUCACCAAGCCGACGAUCUGUAGCUGGUCUGAGAGGACGACCAGCCCCACUGGGACUGAGACACGGCCCAGACUCCUACGGGAGGCAGCAGUGGGGAAUUUUGGACAAUGGGCGAAAGCCUGAUUCAGCCAUGCCGCGUGCAGGAUGAAGGCCUUCGGGUUGUAAACUGCUUUUGUACGGAACGAAAAGGUUUGGCCUAAUAAGCUGAGCUCAUGACGGUACCGUAAGAAUAAGCACCGGCUAACUACGUGCCAGCAGCCGCCGUAA